UGCCGUUUCUUUCGUUUUGCUUAUGCUUUUUGUUAUCGUUUCUGUCUUUCGUUUUUCUUGUUGGUUUCUGCUGUUGUGCAAUUGAUUUUCAGCUUUUGUUUUUCAGCGCCUUUGUUUUCGCUUUCCAGUUUUUAAUUCGGGACAGGAAAUAUCGAUUUGUUCAUUUUUUUUACUUACACUCUUGAUAGGCUAUGACUUUGUGUUUUUUUAUGGUUGUUUUUGCAGUGGUUGAACGGCUGUCUGAUCGUCAAUUGGAGGAUCGUGUAGUUGCAAUUUCCAGUAUCCCCAAUUGGGUUCUUUGUCAGUUAAACAUGGAAGGUCGAGGUCCAACUCCUCUUGAUCGAUUGGUCCCAUAUGAAAAAAUUGGAAAAAUUAAAGUUCGUAUCUGCAGAAUAUAGAUACCAAGAUUUUCAGGCAUGACUGAUAAAUAUGCAGGUCUACACUGUGUAUUAGUUGAUGAAAAGGUCAGUAAUUAAUCUUUAAUAAUACUGUUUGAUAAGCUCUUAACAUGUGAAUUUUGUAUUUGUUCUAAUACAUAUCACAUGACAUUUUUACUCUCUGGGAUAAACACAAUCUCCAAUUCAUUUCUAAUCUCUGUAUUCUUUCAUUUUGUAUCGGAAAAUUACAUGUUAGUUAUCAUUCUGUCUCUAUGUGAUAAGAAUUUGUUUUUGGGUGCAUAUGCAUUGUCUUUAACUUGUUAAUUACACUAAUAAAUUCACUCUUGACGUUAACUAUCCAUCUUAUUCUCUAAUAUUUGUGAUUUACAUUUAUUUUCAUAUUAUUUCAAGUAUUAAAUAUAUCAACUCUCAUGUUAAGUCUAUGUGACAUGUAAUUAUUUUAUGGGUAUCCAUUGCCUUUAAACUGUUAAUUACAAUGAUAACUUGGCUUUCAGUAUUUAGUAUUCAUCUUAGUCUAUAAUGUUGGUAAUUUGCAAAUGUUUUCAUAUUAUUUUAAGUUUCAAAUUUAGUGUUAUUUACCUAUUCAUGAUAUCUUUGACAAUUUCUUUUUCUUCCCUUCUCAAUGUUUGGUUAUCAAGGAACAAGCGAUAGAAGCGUCUUCUGACGAAAUGAACUAUGAUAUAAUAGUCCCAAAAAUUGAAGCAGGUGCUUGCUACGAGAUUAUGAAUUUUCGUACCAACAAAAUAAGAGGCCAGUGUCAAGUAGUCCCGCAUGACACCCAUCUCGUGUUAACUGCCAAAACAGUUUUUAACAAGUUAACAAGUGUGUUUCUGCCUAUUCUGUGUCGCAGAUUUUUUUUUGCAAGAUUAUAAUAGAUUGUAUCCAGGCUGAACAAGACUGAUAUCCUAACAGGUAAUAAAUAUGUACGCAUGUAUAUAUAGCUGUGUGUUACAAUGCAUUGAUACAUGUUUUAUGAAACAUUUUCUCCUCACCUAAUUAUGUUUUGGUUUUCUUUCUUUUUUUCAAAUUUGUAGAUGUUAUUGGUCAUGUGGUUGGAGUCCAGCGUUUUGGACUUGACGAGUUAACACAUCAUAUGAACUAUCUAAACAUAAGCUUUCUAUUUUUACUUCUUUUACAUAAGCUUUCUAUUUCAUGAUUAUUAACUAUCUAAACAUCUUUUUGGAUAUUUAACAGGAUGAUACAUUUUUGUGCAAGGCAUCAAUUAAGCGGUUUAACACAUCAUAUGAAUGGUGGUAUGCUGCUUGCCCUACAUGUGCCAAACAAAUGUACAAGGACCCAACAACUGGUCAACUGAUGUGCCAAAAACAUAUAAAUCAAAUGCCAACUCCUUGGUACAAAGUGUUCUUGGUCCUUGAAGACGAAACAAAUGAGAUCAAUGCUCUCAUUAUCGGCAAAUUAGGAGAAAAGGUCUUUGGCAUGCCAUGCAAAGAUUUGGUUUACAAUCAAAGAUCAACAGAUCACAAGCAAUUACCAAGUGAGUUUUUCAGACUUAUAGGCCAAAGGAAAAAUUUUCACCUUUGGUUUGGAAGCCGACGAAAUUUGUUGAAUUCAAAUGAUCUCCUUAUCUACAAUGUUUCUGAGGACACAAUGAUCCAACCAACAACACCAGUCUUUUAUGAAAGAAAUUGCAGUGUCUUCGACAACAGUUUCAUCGUCCACUACACCAGCUGAAAAAACCGGAGAAACGCACAAGAGGAAAAGAGAUUCCAUCAGGAGAGCCCUUUUUACAGAGGCUAAAAACAUAGGAAGUCUCUGAAGUAGAUGUCUAGGAUUUUGGUCAGGUUCCAAUCAAAUUGUUGAAAAAAAAGCAUCUUCUCCAACAAGCAUGAAAAAAGACCCUCUACCAAAAAAAAAAAAAACUAGGUAACUUUGCUCCAUUCCUAUUUUUUAUAUGAUGUAACCAUAUUUGCACACACUUGAUUACAGCUCAGUUAGCAUUUACAUAUUUUUUUUACCAUCUGCACAUCGUUUAUUUGCAGUUAUUGCCAGAAGGAACAAACUUUUGCUGCUAUAGAAAAGAGACUGAUCAUCUUUUGUUAAAACAACAUCAGUGCUUCUCCAUAUUUUUUGCGUGUAAAUAGGCCACCAUAACAUUGAUACCCCUAUUUUUUGUGCACAUGAACAACUGAUGCUGAUCAACACCUAACAUAGCUACCAGGGGGAAAUAUCAGACUCAUCACUUUUGUACAUCCAUGUCAAAAUGUUUCCUAAUGUUUUUUGCCUAAAUUGUACAACUAUAAACAGUGGCCUGUAAAAAUAUUGACUACAUUUUAUAUGCAGUCUUUAUUAUGUUUAUGUUAAUAGUGUUACUCAACAUUUAUGUA
Non-coding RNA from Malus domestica (apple), 2743 nucleotides. The record is from RefSeq and is a predicted model, not a curated record. Lineage: Eukaryota; Viridiplantae; Streptophyta; Magnoliopsida; Rosales; Rosaceae.